This is a non-coding RNA of Callithrix jacchus (white-tufted-ear marmoset), 4101 nucleotides long. NCBI's taxonomy places the organism in Eukaryota, Metazoa, Chordata, Mammalia, Primates, Cebidae. The record is from RefSeq and is a predicted model, not a curated record.
GGGGCGGCCGGAACAGCGAUGCCGGCGGGCAUGACGAAGCAUGGCUCCCGCUCCACCAGCUCGCUGCCGCCCGAGCCCAUGGAGAUCGUGCGCAGCAAGGCGUGCUCUCGGCGGGUCCGCCUCAACGUCGGGGGGCUGGCACACGAGGUGCUCUGGCGUACCCUGGACCGCCUGCCCCGCACGCGGCUGGGCAAGCUCCGUGACUGCAACACGCAUGACUCGCUGCUCGAGGUGUGCGACGACUACAGCCUCGACGACAACGAGUACUUCUUUGAUCGCCACCCGGGCGCCUUCACCUCCAUCCUCAACUUCUACCGCACGGGACGACUGCACAUGAUGGAGGAGAUGUGCGCUCUCAGCUUCAGCCAAGAGCUCGACUACUGGGGCAUCGACGAGAUCUACUUGGAGUCCUGCUGCCAGGCCCGCUACCACCAGAAGAAGGAGCAGAUGAACGAAGAGCUCAAGCGUGAGGCCGAGACCCUACGGGAGCGGGAAGGCGAGGAGUUCGAUAACACGUGCUGCGCAGAGAAGAGGAAAAAAACUCUGGGACCUACUGGAGAAGCCCAAUUCCUCUGUGGCUGCCAAGUAUCGUUUGAAAGAAAUUGUGGUUAUCCAUCAAGACCCAGAAGCUCUUAAAGAUGUCAAGUCUUUGGAGAAUUAUGUCAUUGAGGUACGCUCUGCUAAGGAAGUCAAAAGAAUGGCAAGGGCGUGAUGGCCUCAACAACCUGAACUACUUUACAAACAUCACAUAUGACGCCUUGUAUAAAAACAUAACUGUCAACCUGACACCCGAGCUGGCUCAGGUGAACGAGUACUGAGAGGAGAGAAUGUAUGUUUGCUUUACCCACCGCCAGCAAGAAAGCAGUCUGAUGAGAUUUUUUUUUGGCGGGGGUGGGGGUCCUACACAGGAAGAGAACAGAAAUACAGUGUCUCAUGAAGGAUCACAGGGUUUGGGGGAAAAUGUGACCGCACACGCACAAACGUCUUCACUGGAUCAGCUGCUGGGACCGAGGGAGUGAGCUUGGGGACUUCCUUCGUCAGCACUGGCUUUGUAUUUUCACAAGACAGAGGGCUGUCCCGCUGCUCUCUCCCUGUCUCCAACCCCACAUCCUGUCUUAGCCACAGUCUCCAGAACCCAUGAUGAACUGUGAUCUGCUGUGGUCCUGCCGUGGAGCCUGUCCCUAUGUGUGUGACCUUGCAGCCUCUUGGCCUUCAGAGCAGAGGCAAACCCAGCACAGGGCAGCUGUGUUUUAGGAAGAGCAAAUGACACUCCACACCAUUCUUCUAUAUUUCUGGUGCUGUCUUUGGUUUCAUUUUUUUAAAAAAAUUACCUUUGGGUGGGGAUUGAGGGUGGAGGGGAGGGUGUUUGGGAAAGAUAAAUAGACAUAAAUAUAUAACAAUCAGUUCUUGAAGUAUAAUUGUAAAUAAGCCAUGUAAAAUGCCUUUUUAAAAUUUAAUUUCUAGGUGGCUCCAGUUCAAACCUAGGGUUUAUAUAUUAGACCAUUUAUUUGGUUGGCAAGUGCAGGAACUCAGUUAAAAUGCAGUUGGAGGAUGUCAUCUCCCGAAUGGCUGUCACCUGGGGAAGGGAGUGGAUAUAGGGCACGUCACAAAAGAUCAAAAUAACCCGACCUUUAUUGCCGGGAGCUGGCUUCUGCCCCUUUCUUUCUCCCCAUGAGUCUUGUCCUUGACUUCUGCUCUGGAUUCACUCUUCCCUGUUGGCCACGUUCCCGCUCAUCCCACUCUCCGCUAAGCGGGAGGCUGCUAUUAGAGCAGGCUGCUUCCUGCCCGAAGCAGGCCCUCCGGGGCUCGCUGCACACACAUCCCUGGCUCUCCAGGCUUCAUGUUUCGUCCUUUGAUCAGCAUGUGGUUUGGGAGGGGGGUUGUAUGGGAAUCCCUCCCCCCCUUUUUUCUCUGUGGAAACUUGGCCACAGUUUCUGAACAAUGUGCCUACAUUACCAGCUGGCUUCAGUGAUUCCUCUGUUUCCCUUUUUGGUUUCUGGAAAGAUUCUUUGUCAACAUUAGUAACUGAUACAGAGAACAAGGAGCACUGGAGUAGGAAAGAAUUCAGCCAGGGAGCCGGUGACACUUGUGUGCUGUGGGGCAGCUGGGAUCCAGGAAAGACCGGAUGGAAGCUUUGAAAUUAGACCAACAAAGCUCCAGAUGGCAAGAGCCCAGGUGCGCUGGUUACACCCCCACCUGCAUUUUGAAGUCAUAUAUAUAUAUUUUUUUUUUUGAAGACAGGGUCUGGCUCUGUCACCUGGGCUGGAGUACAUCAGCACCAUCACAGUUCACUGAAGCCUCCAUCUCCCGGGCUCAAGCCAUUUUCCCACCUCAGCCUUCCAUGUAGCUGGGACUACAGGUGCACACCCCCAUACCUGGCUAAUGUUUUGUAUUUUUAGUGGAGAUGGGGUUUCGCCGUGUUGCCCCGGCUUCUCUCAAACUACUAGACUCAAGCAAUCCACCCACCUUGACUUCCAAAGUACUGGGAUUACGGGAGGUGUGAGCCAUCAUGCCCAGCCUGAAGUCAUAUUUUAAAUUGUAUUUGAAUUUGUGCCUCUUUGUUUUUCCCCCGAACCAAAGCCCUCAAUUUGUAGUCCCUGUCCGCUUCUGCAGAAAUCUGGAAAAUGCCAGUUUCCCUCCCCCCCUUUCUUUUCCAUACAACAUAUUUAUAUAUUGUGGUGAAGAGUACUUUCUGAAGAGUACUUUGUAUUAAUUUUAAUUGCCUUGUUUGCCUUCAACUUCCUUGAUUUUCAUGGUUUACAUGGGUGUGUGUAGGGGUGUGUGUGUGUGUGUGUGUAUACGUGUGGGUUAGGGCUUUUGUGUUGUAUGUGAUGGUUCUGUGGACAUAUGAUCCCCGCAAACUGGGAGUGAUUGGACAGGACUUGUUUUCAUGUUUGUAUUUUCUUUUGAAGAAUACAGUGGUAUUUAGAAAAUAAAUUGCAUUGCAAAGCUCUUAUCGGCUCAUAUGAGAGAGCAGGCUCCUGCCCUUGAAAAUGCUGGUAAGCUAUAGCCUAUGUUUUUUUAAACUUUUAAGCAUUUCAUGCUUUAAAUUACCUUCAGAAGGGAACAUUACACCCAGAGGUUCAUUUGGUUUUCCUUUGUUUUAGGGUGCAUAUAGCAAUAAAGAACCCCUAACCCAAUUUUGCCCUCUACUGUGCAACCCCACCCCCACCAGGCCUUUGUCCCUGCCUCAGCUUUUCUCCCCUUCUCAUUCUCCUCUCUCUUUUCCUCACUGAAGGCUGUGAGUUGCUUUCAUUGUGACGACACUGUGAUGUCAUUUGGAAGGAUUUGCCAGUACAGACUGAUUCUGAGUUACAGGCGGCAGUGUUGUUUGAAGCUCUACAUUACCAUAAUUACCAUCAAGUACACACUGUUGGCAAAAGACUAACACCUGACUUUUAAAUACUGAUUUGAGAACAAAAGGGAAAGGGUCUCUUUUCACUGCUUAAAGUAGGGUCACAUCGAUACCCUUGCGGUCACAAGUCCGUCUGAUGAGUGUGGAAUCUCUGAAUAUAAUUGUCAUGCGUCCACCGGGUCUUGAAUAUUAUAUGGGAAAUGUCAUAGUUAAAAACGUAAUAGCAUGGAAUUGUCAUUUAAAAAAAAAAACAGGAACCAAAUGUGACCUUGUGCAUAUGUUGACAGCUGAAAAUCUUUAUGGCUACUGAUGGGUGGCCCCUUAAAUUAAUCUUGUCUUUGAUUGCUGUGUGCCGGGAAAGGUGUCCCUGUUGAUGCUGUUUCUGGGGGAAAGGGGGUACUUGCAAGAAUACUCAGUUUGACAUAAUAGGUCCUGUUGUCAGAGAUCCUCUACCACAGACAUGAAUAGCUGAGCAGCAGCCACAAGGAUUGAUUGUAUCCACCACCAUUGACAAUAGCUUUGAGCAUAGCUAGCUUAUUUCCAUCACUACGUGUUUUUGAGCUCGCUCUUAUGUUUUAAGAGGUGCCAGGGGUACAUUUUUGCACUGAAAUCUUAAGAUGUUUUAAAAAAACUUUUCACAAAAAAUAGUCCUUUGUCAUUACAUUAUUUACUCAUGUGUUUGUACAUUUUUGUAAGUUAAUUUAUGACUGAUUUUUUCAGUAAAAAAUACAUAUUCAAGAACCAAA